UGGGGAAUUUUUCGCAAUGGGGGAAACCCUGACGAAGCAACGCCGCGUGGAGGAUGAAGGCCUUCGGGUCGUAAACUCCUGUCGACCGGGACGAACGCUAUUGGGCCCAAUACGCCCGAUAGUCGACUGUACCGGUGGAGGAAGCCACGGCUAACUCUGUGCCAGCAGCCGCGGUAAUACGUAGGGGGCAAGCGUUGUCCGGAAUUACUGGGCGUAAAGGGCUCGUAGGCGGCCAACUAAGUCAGACGUGAAAUCCCUCGGCUUAACCGGGGAACUGCGUCUGAUACUGGAUGGCUUGAGGUUGGGAGAGGGAUGCGGAAUUCCAGGUGUAGCGGUGAAAUGCGUAGAUAUCUGGAGGAACACCGGUGGCGAAGGCGACAUCCUGGACCAAUUCUGACGCCGAGGAGCGAAAGCCAGGGGAGCAAACGGGAUUAGAUACCCCGGUAGUCCCUGAGCGGGCUGGCAAGGCGCAU
This 473-nucleotide ribosomal RNA is filed under the name uncultured bacterium. Its description in RNAcentral is "bacterial SSU rRNA". It matches the Rfam family "Bacterial small subunit ribosomal RNA", at positions 355 to 825 of the family's 1533-position model. The record is from RNAcentral.